This 855-nucleotide ribosomal RNA is filed under the name uncultured bacterium. RNAcentral describes it as "bacterial SSU rRNA". It matches the Rfam family "Bacterial small subunit ribosomal RNA", at positions 510 to 1367 of the family's 1533-position model. The record is from RNAcentral.
AGCAGCCGCGGUAAUACGGAGGAUGCAAGCGUUAUCCGGAUUUAUUGGGUUUAAAGGGUGCGUAGGCGGCUUGGUAAGCGGGAGGUGAAAUGCCGGCGCUCAACGUCGGAAGUGCCUCCCGAACUGUCGGGCUUGAAUGGUUGUGCCGUGGGAGGAAUGAGUGGUGUAGCGGUGAAAUGCUUAGAGAUCACUCAGAACACCGAUUGCGAAGGCAUCUCACGAACGACUGAUUGACGCUGAGGCACGAAAGCGUGGGGAUCAAACAGGAUUAGAUACCCUGGUAGUCCACGCAGUAAACGAUGAUGGCUAACCGCUGGGGCAGACGCUUCAGUGGCCAAGCGAAAGCGAUAAGUUAUCCACCUGGGGAGUACGUUCGCAAGAAUGAAACUCAAAGGAAUUGACGGGGGCCCGCACAAGCGGAGGAACAUGUGGUUUAAUUCGAUGAUACGCGAGGAACCUUACCCGGGCUCAAACGCACGUUGAAUGGCGCCGAAAGGAGUCAGCCGGCAACGGCAAUGUGCGAGGUGCUGCAUGGUUGUCGUCAGCUCGUGCCGUGAGGUGUCGGCUUAAGUGCCAUAACGAGCGCAACCCCCAUCUUCAGUUGCUAACGGGUGAAGCCGAGGACUCUGGAGAGACUGCCGGCGCAAGCUGCGAGGAAGGCGGGGAUGACGUCAAAUCAGCACGGCCCUUACGUCCGGGGCGACACACGUGUUACAAUGGCGGGGCACAGCGGGAUGCCAGGUGGCGACACCGAGCGGACCCCGAAAACCCGUCUCAGUUCGGAUUGGAGUCUGCAACCCGACUCCAUGAAGCUGGAUUCGCUAGUAAUCGCGCAUCAGCCACGGCGCGGUGAAU